RNAcentral lists this long non-coding RNA (330 nucleotides) under Elaeis guineensis (African oil palm). RNAcentral describes it as "long non-coding RNA (EGUI_LNC047407)". The record is from RNAcentral. Lineage: Eukaryota; Viridiplantae; Streptophyta; Magnoliopsida; Arecales; Arecaceae.
CGCGCGCCCAAUAAAAGAUGCGAUAAGCAUCUUUUCAUUAAUCAGAUUUUUUUUAGAUUUUUACAUGUAGAAACUCUUUCCUUAAAUGUUUAAAAACUAGAAGAUUAUCUGAUAUAAGUGUUAUGAUCCAGGUGGUGUGCCCAAGGCCCAGGGGACCAAGGCUAAGGCCAAGGUCCAUCAUUCAUGAGGGCUUCAUGGAGGCUCUAGGGCUAGUUGGGCCCUAGGUUGAAAGGCUGUGGGCCUUUCGGGUUCUUGAGGUCUAGAUUAUGUGGGCCUCAAGGGACCAAUUCUUUAUGGGCCAGGUUUGGACCCAGGAUAGGUGAGAUUAGG